ACGGAAGGCAGCAGUGAGGAAUAUUGGUCAAUGGGCGGAAGCCUGAACCAGCCAAGUCGCGUGAAGGAUGAAGGUUUUAUGUAUUGUAAACUUCUUUAGCCAGGGGGCAAUAAGGCGUACGCGUACGCCGAUGAGAGUACCUGGAGAAUAAGGAUCGGCUAACGCCGUGCCAGCAGCCGCGGUAAUACGGAGGAUCCGAGCGUUAUCCGGAUUUAUUGGGUUUAAAGGGUGCGCAGGCGGCUCUCUAAGUCAGUGGUUAAUUCGUGACGCUCAACGUCAUCACGCCAUUGAUACGGGAGAGCUUGAUUGCGGUCGAGGUUUGCGGAAUUCGUCGUGUAGCGGUGAAAUGCAUAGAUAUGACGAAGAACACCGAUUGCGUAGGCAGCAGACCAGGCCGUAAAUGACGCUCAUGCACGAAAGUGCGGGGAUCGAACAGGAUUAGAUACCCUGGUA
RNAcentral lists this ribosomal RNA (453 nucleotides) under uncultured Porphyromonadaceae bacterium. RNAcentral's name for it is "partial 16S ribosomal RNA". It matches the Rfam family "Bacterial small subunit ribosomal RNA", at positions 341 to 792 of the family's 1533-position model. The record is from RNAcentral. Lineage: Bacteria; Pseudomonadati; Bacteroidota; Bacteroidia; Bacteroidales; Porphyromonadaceae.